This 435-nucleotide long non-coding RNA is filed under the name Rhopalosiphum maidis (corn leaf aphid). RNAcentral's name for it is "uncharacterized LOC113559054, transcript variant X1". The record is from RNAcentral. Lineage: Eukaryota; Metazoa; Arthropoda; Insecta; Hemiptera; Aphididae.
GGUAAAUCGGUUUAAUUUAUGUUGAAUGUUCGAAGUGUAGGCUUGGGGAUAAUGAGUCAACUACGUCUUUGUUCCAGUAUCUAUACAAAUUAAGAUCUAAAAAGUUUGCCUUUUCUGUGUUUUUCGUAUAAUAUUGACAAUAAAGUAUACGAGAAAGAAGAAAAUCUAUUGAAAAAAGAUACUGAAAUCUACUUUACAACAGUCUGGAACAAUUGGAUUCAAGAACACAGAUCAUUAUUACCGCCAAGAAACAAUAGUGGCUACGUGUACAUGUGCCUGAGAGAUAUGGCUUAAAUAAACUGAAUGGUGUUACAAUUUUACAUGGUUGUUUAUCUAAGUUAUACAAAAAAAUGUUCAAUAUACAACAGAAAAUGUCGAAGCUCAGAUAAAACUGGAAAUAGAUGUAAUUGACUGUAAUAAAUAUUAAAAAAGUUU